CAGCCGCCGCGGGAAUACGUAGGUGGCAAGCGUUGUCCGGAAUUAUUGGGCGUAAAGGGCUCGCAGGCGGUUUAGUAAGUCUGAAGUUAAAGGCAUUGGCUCAACCAAUGUAUGCUUUGGAAACUGUUAGACUUGAGUGCAGAAGGGGAGAGUGGAAUUCCAUGUGUAGCGGUGAAAUGCGUAGAUAUAUGGAGGAACACCGGUGGCGAAAGCGGCUCUCUGGUCUGUCACUGACGCUGAGGCUCGAAAGCGUGGGUAGCGAACAGGAUUAGAUACCCCUGUAGUCCCUGUCUCUUAUACA
Molecule: ribosomal RNA, 301 nt
Filed under: uncultured bacterium
Lineage: Bacteria
Description: partial 16S ribosomal RNA
Rfam family: Bacterial small subunit ribosomal RNA
Source: RNAcentral